This 253-nucleotide ribosomal RNA is filed under the name uncultured bacterium. RNAcentral's name for it is "partial 16S ribosomal RNA". It matches the Rfam family "Bacterial small subunit ribosomal RNA", at positions 524 to 776 of the family's 1533-position model. The record is from RNAcentral.
UACGUAGGGGGCAAGCGUUGUCCGGAUUUAUUGGGCGUAAAGAGCGUGUAGGCGGUUAGGUAGGUCCGUUGUGAAAACUCGAGGCUCAACCUCGAGACGCCGAUGGAAACCAUCUGACUAGAGUCCGGAAGAGGAGAGUGGAAUUCCUGGUGUAGCGGUGAAAUGCGCAGAUAUCAGGAGGAACACCGAUGGCGAAGGCAGGUCUCUGGGCCACUACUGACGCUGAGAAGCGAAAGCAUGGGGAGCGAACAGG